CGGGACGGGGUGAGUAAUGUCUGGGAAACUGCCUGAUGGAGGGGGGUAACUACUGGAAACGGUAGCUAAUACCGCAUAACGUCGCAAGACCAAAGAGGGGGACCUUCGGGCCUCUUGCCAUCGGAUGUGCCCAGAUGGGAUUAGCUAGUAGGUGGGGUAAAGGCUCACCUAGGCGACGAUCCCUAGCUGGUCUGAGAGGAUGACCAGCCACACUGGAACUGAGACACGGUCCAG
Molecule: ribosomal RNA, 234 nt
Filed under: uncultured bacterium
Lineage: Bacteria
Description: partial 16S ribosomal RNA
Rfam family: Bacterial small subunit ribosomal RNA
Source: RNAcentral